CCUACGGGUGGCAGCAGUGAGGAAUAUUGGUCAAUGGACGCAACUCUGACCCAGCCAUGCCGCGUGAAUGAAGAAGGUUUUCGGAUUUUAAAACUCUUUCUGAUGUGGCGAUAAUGACGUUAGCAUCUGAAGACUCCCCGUCUAACUUCAUGCCAGAAGCCGCGGUUAUACGGAGGCAGCAGGCGUUGUUCGGAAUUACUGGGCGUAAAGGGAGUGUAGGCGGUUUAGUAAGAUAGCGGUGAAAUUCCAGGGCUUAACUUUGGAAUUUCCAGUAUAACUAGUAGACUAGAAUUAGAGAGAGGUAAGCGGAAUACGUGGUGUAGCGGUGAAAUGCGUAGAUAUCGGGUAGAACUCCAGUUGCGAAGGCAACUAACUGGCUGUACACUGACGCUGAGGCGCGAAAGCAUGGGGAUCAAACAGGAUUAGAUACCCCGGUAGUC
This 440-nucleotide ribosomal RNA is filed under the name uncultured bacterium. RNAcentral's name for it is "partial 16S ribosomal RNA". It matches the Rfam family "Bacterial small subunit ribosomal RNA", at positions 338 to 795 of the family's 1533-position model. The record is from RNAcentral.